Nicotiana tabacum (common tobacco) is the source of this 1535-nucleotide non-coding RNA. The record is from RefSeq and is a predicted model, not a curated record. Lineage: Eukaryota; Viridiplantae; Streptophyta; Magnoliopsida; Solanales; Solanaceae.
AUCUAUUGCAAGGCCUAGGCAAUUUGGAUUAUCUGGAAAGUUGCAGCAGCUAAUACAAUGUGAAAAGGACAGAGAUACAUAUUUCUUGGAGAAGUCACAAACACAUGAUGCUUCAAGUGGUGCAAAAAACUUCAUUGAUGUGAGAAUUUUGUCAAGUUCUUUGGAGGCCAAGCUGACUGUUUGUUUUUGUGCUUUACAUGGAGAUGAAGAGGGGAGUGUUGGCUGCUUAAUAAUUUCCAACAUAAUAAAUAUACAAAGGAAUAGAAGGGGCGGAGGUUACGUCAAGGAAGAAAGGAAAGGCCAAGGAUUGUUUUGAUCUGACUUAUGGCUAUAAAGUCAUAUUUCAUGGGAGUUCAUUCAUUCCUUAAUUAGUUUUGCAAUGGUAUUGCAUUUGAUUAUUUGAUGUGCUUCAACGUCAAAUUAAGCACUUUGGAAUCUGGAAUACAACUAGCUGACAAGUUUUAGAAAGAAAAAUUCGUGGUGUAAAAAGGGUUCUGAAUGCCUGAGCAAUCCUCAAAAAAGAAAGGGUACUGGAGGAAGGAAGUUAACUAUCAUUUUUAACUCAAGAAUCUGUAAAGAUAUCGAGCUGGAAAUAGGGAAUUUUAUCCGCAUACAUCAGCCUUGGAAAGAGGUACACGUGAAUGAGAAAGAUGAGGCCAUCAUUUUAUGUGCAUAUUUCUCUCAGAUUUAGCCCUUGAAUCGCAUUUUAUAACAAGGUAAUAGCAAGGUUUCUAGAGAUAACUUUAUUGUUGUACUUUUCCCGUUCCCUCUAUUUUCCUUGUAGAGUAUAAUGUAGAAGUUUGUCCGUUUUCUACCCGAAUUUCACCCAAGGGUACGUCUAAAUUUAUGAAGGUAAUCUGAUCACUUUAUUUAUUUUGAGCCUCAUUGGAUUGGUGGGAGUUCUAGUCCUGACUUCCUAUGCUCUUUAAGUAGGCUCAUCACCGAUCUUAUCCUAUACAAUGACCACACAUAUGCAGAAAGGGAAAUCAGUAGUUAGGGCAGGAGCCAAAGAAAUUGGCCAUCAUGUCAGUGUGGAUGGAGGUUGAAUCAACAAUGUUCGAUCUUGUAGCUUCCAAACUGAGCUUUGAGCUGCCGUUGUUGGGCAUGGUGACGGACAAUGCAACUGUGGCAGAAAACGAAGACAAUCUUGGAAAGAUUCUUGAUGUAUACGAGAUGAGACUACGGGAAUUAAAACACUUGGGAGAAGACAGCCUCACCCUGGCAGAUAUGCACCAUGUCCCAGUUAUACACCCAUAUCCCAGUUAUACACUACUUGAUCGGAACUAUAUCCAAGGCUGCGUUUAAUUCUCAUCCUCAUGUAAGAGUUUGGUGUGAGUAAAAAAUGUUGAAACUCUAGCCCUUAUUAGAGGAUCAUAAUACUUCCCAUAAAAUGGAAAUUCUUGAUCAAUGGAGGAAGAAUAGUGAUUAAUUAGCUGGAGAAGGGACAAUUGACUUCGUCGCUUCAUUCUUCCAUACAAGUGGACGAAAAAACGUUCAACUUUCAAAGUUUUGCAUUCAUUUUUAUCUUAUUUUCA